This 96-nucleotide non-coding RNA is filed under the name Lotharella globosa. Lineage: Eukaryota; Cercozoa; Chlorarachniophyceae. The record is from RNAcentral.
CCCAUGCAAAAAAGCAACAACAAAAAAAAAAAAAAAAUGCUGUUGAAAACAAAAAAUAGAAGCACUCCAUAUUGCACGCCUUUGUUCUUCUUUUUU